Molecule: ribosomal RNA, 502 nt
Filed under: uncultured bacterium
Lineage: Bacteria
Description: bacterial SSU rRNA
Rfam family: Bacterial small subunit ribosomal RNA
Source: RNAcentral
GACGAACGCUGGCGGCGUGGAUUAGGCAUGCAAGUCGAACGGUAUCAUCCUUUCGGGGGUGAGAGAGUGGCGAACUGGUGAGUAACACGUAGGUUAUCUACCCUCAAGACGGGGACAACCCAGGGAAACUUGGGCUAAUACCGGAUGUGAGCAACUUUUAGUUGUUUGAAAGGUGGCGUAAGCUGUCGCUUGGGGAUGAGCCUGCGUCCUAUUAGUUAGUUGGUGAGGUAACGGCUCACCUAGGCAAUGAUAGGUAGGCGGCCUUAACGGGUGGUCGCCCACACUGGGAUUGAGAUACGGCCCAGACUCCUACGGGAGGCAGCAGUCGAGAAUAGUCUACAAUGGUCGGAAGACUGAUAGUGCGACGCCGCGUGAACGAUGAAUCCCCUUGGGGUUAAAGUUCUUUUAUAUGUGAGCAGUGCUUCUAUAUAACAGUAUGGGGAAGAGAUAUUAGCAUAUGAAUAAGCAACGGCUAACUCCGUGCCCAGCAGGCCGCGGUAAU